AUUCUGCCCAUGCGGGGAAGGAUGAGAAGCUUCGACCAAGGUUCGACUCGAGCGCCGGCGAGAGAGAGUGGCCGCAGGCAACGACCCGAAGGGUGAAGCGCGCAGCGCUGAGUAAUCCUUCCCCCACCACCA
RNAcentral lists this small RNA (132 nucleotides) under Escherichia coli. Its description in RNAcentral is "RtT sRNA". It matches the Rfam family "RtT RNA". Rfam says of the family: This family represents a bacterial cis-regulatory element known as RtT RNA. The exact function of RtT is unknown although it is thought that it may be involved in changing the cellular response in relation to amino acid starvation. The record is from RNAcentral. Lineage: Bacteria; Pseudomonadati; Pseudomonadota; Gammaproteobacteria; Enterobacterales; Enterobacteriaceae.